Molecule: ribosomal RNA, 1372 nt
Filed under: uncultured bacterium
Lineage: Bacteria
Description: bacterial SSU rRNA
Rfam family: Bacterial small subunit ribosomal RNA
Source: RNAcentral
GAUAAACGCUGGCGGCGUGCCUAAUACAUGCAAGUCGAGCGAACGGACGAGAAGCUUGCUUCUCUGAUGUUAGCGGCGGACGGGUGAGUAACACGUGGAUAACCUACCUAUAAGACUGGGAUAACUUCGGGAAACCGGAGCUAAUACCGGAUAAUAUUUUGAACCGCAUGGUUCAAAAGUGAAAGACGGUCUUGCUGUCACUUAUAGAUGGAUCCGCGCUGCAUUAGCUAGUUGGUAAGGUAACGGCUUACCAAGGCAACGAUGCAUAGCCGACCUGAGAGGGUGAUCGGCCACACUGGAACUGAGACACGGUCCAGACUCCUACGGGAGGCAGCAGUAGGGAAUCUUCCGCAAUGGGCGAAAGCCUGACGGAGCAACGCCGCGUGAGUGAUGAAGGUCUUCGGAUCGUAAAACUCUGUUAUUAGGGAAGAACAUAUGUGUAAGUAACUGUGCACAUCUUGACGGUACCUAAUCAGAAAGCCACGGCUAACUACGUGCCAGCAGCCGCGGUAAUACGUAGGUGGCAAGCGUUAUCCGGAAUUAUUGGGCGUAAAGCGCGCGUAGGCGGUUUUUUAAGUCUGAUGUGAAAGCCCACGGCUCAACCGUGGAGGGUCAUUGGAAACUGGAAAACUUGAGUGCAGAAGAGGAAAGUGGAAUUCCAUGUGUAGCGGUGAAAUGCGCAGAGAUAUGGAGGAACACCAGUGGCGAAGGCGACUUUCUGGUCUGUAACUGACGCUGAUGUGCGAAAGCGUGGGGAUCAAACAGGAUUAGAUACCCUGGUAGUCCACGCCGUAAUCGAUGAGUGCUAAGUGUUAGGGGGUUUCCGCCCCUUAGUGCUGCAGUUAACGCAUUAAGCACUCCGCCUGGGGAGUACGACCGCAAGGUUGAAACUCAAAGGAAUUGACGGGGACCCGCACAAGCGGUGGAGCAUGUGGUUUAAUUCGAAGCAACGCGAAGAACCUUACCAAAUCUUGACAUCCUUUGACAACUCUAGAGAUAGAGCCUUCCCCUUCGGGGGACAAAGUGACAGGUGGUGCAUGGUUGUCGUCAGCUCGUGUCGUGAGAUGUUGGGUUAAGUCCCGCAACGAGCGCAACCCUUAAGCUUAGUUGCCAUCAUUAAGUUGGGCACUCUAAGUUGACUGCCGGUGACGAACCGGAGGAAGGUGGGGAUGACGUCAAAUCAUCAUGCCCCUUAUGAUUUGGGCUACACACGUGCUACAAUGGACAAUACAAAGGGCAGCGAAACCGCGAGGUCAAGCAAAUCCCAUAAAGUUGUUCUCAGUUCGGAUUGUAGUCUGCAACUCGACUACAUGAAGCUGGAAUCGCUAGUAAUCGUAGAUCAGCAUGCUACGGUGAAUACGUUCCCGGGUCU